GGAGAGGUGGCUGAGUGGCUGAAAGCGACGGUUUGCUAAACCGUUGUACCGGUUCAGACCGGUACCGCGGGUUCGAAUCCCGCCCUCUCCG
RNAcentral lists this transfer RNA (91 nucleotides) under Phycisphaerae bacterium. Its description in RNAcentral is "tRNA-Ser". It matches the Rfam family "tRNA". Rfam says of the family: Transfer RNA (tRNA) molecules are approximately 80 nucleotides in length. Their secondary structure includes four short double-helical elements and three loops (D, anti-codon, and T loops). Lineage: Bacteria; Pseudomonadati; Planctomycetota; Phycisphaerae. The record is from RNAcentral.